UACGGAGGGUGCAAGCGUUGUCCGGAAUCACUGGGCGUAAAGGGCGCGUAGGCGGCUCAUGAAGGCUGUGGUGAAAGUCCGGGGCUCAACCUCGGAUCGGCCGUGGCGACUCGUGGGCUGGAGCACUGUAGAGGCGGGUGGAAUUCCGGGUGUAGCGGUGGAAUGCGUAGAGAUCCGGAAGAACACCAAAGGCGAAGGCAGUGUCCUGGGGAGUACCUGACGCUCAGGUGCGAAAGCCAGGGGAGCGAACGGG
This 253-nucleotide ribosomal RNA is filed under the name uncultured bacterium. RNAcentral describes it as "partial 16S ribosomal RNA". It matches the Rfam family "Bacterial small subunit ribosomal RNA", at positions 524 to 776 of the family's 1533-position model. The record is from RNAcentral.